AACGCAGCGAAGGGCGAUAAGUAAUGUGAAUUGCAGAAUUCAGUGAAUCAUCGAAUCUUUGAACGCACAUUGCGCCCCUUGGUAUUCCGGGGGGGCAUGCCUGUUCGAGCGUCAUUACAACCCUCAAGCCUAGCUUGGUAUUGGGCCUCGCCACUAACCUGGCGGGCCUCAAAAUUAGUGGCGGUGCCGUCGUGGCCCUGAGCGUAGUAAAUAUCCUCGCUAUAGGGACCCGGCGGUUACUGGCCAGCAACCCCCAACUUUUCUAAGUUUGACCUCGGAUCAGGUAGGGAUACCCGCUGAACUUAA
RNAcentral lists this ribosomal RNA (306 nucleotides) under uncultured fungus. Its description in RNAcentral is "eukaryotic LSU rRNA". The stretch from base 1 to 114 matches the Rfam family "5.8S ribosomal RNA", at positions 42 to 154 of the family's 154-position model. The record is from RNAcentral. Lineage: Eukaryota; Fungi.